Molecule: ribosomal RNA, 253 nt
Filed under: uncultured bacterium
Lineage: Bacteria
Description: partial 16S ribosomal RNA
Rfam family: Bacterial small subunit ribosomal RNA
Source: RNAcentral
UACAGAGGGGGCAAGCGUUGUUCGGAAUUACUGGGCGUAAAGGGCGCGUAGGCGGCCUGUUAAGUCGAACGUGAAAUCCCCGGGCUCAACCCGGGAACUGCGUCCGAAACUGGCAGGCUCGAAUCCGGGAGAGGGAUGCGGAAUUCCAGGUGUAGCGGUGAAAUGCGUAGAGAUCGGGAGGAACAUCUGUGGCGAAGGCGACUGCCUGGACCAGCACUGACACUGAGGCACGAAAGCGUGGGGAGCAAACAGG